AAGGGAGACCUAAUUCGGGUAGAAGACGAAAAAAUAGUAGUCGAAACCAAGAAUCAACCCCAAAAGGUCGGAACGAGGUAUGUGGCUUUCAAACUAGGUUCUGGGUUCACAAAAGACCUGAAUCAGGAACAAGGGCUAUUAGCUCAGGUGGUUAGAGCGCACCCCUGAUAAGGGUGAGGUCCCUGGUUCGAGUCCAGGAUGGCCCACCUGCACAGGUGGCAAAAACAAGAGAAACGAGGAAUCAGCACCUUAUCUUACUUACAUAGUAAGAGAGAAUGCUGGCUCUGAGUAAAGAGUCCAGAGGAACCUUGAAAACUGCAUAGAGCUAGGUGGAAAAGCCAAAAAAGAAGACCGCAA
RNAcentral lists this transfer RNA (357 nucleotides) under uncultured Microcystis sp. RNAcentral describes it as "partial 16S-23S ribosomal RNA intergenic spacer". The stretch from base 133 to 206 matches the Rfam family "tRNA". Lineage: Bacteria; Bacillati; Cyanobacteriota; Cyanophyceae; Chroococcales; Microcystaceae. The record is from RNAcentral.